GCCGUGCACACGGGUGGGUCCGUGGGGUGGGCGACUUACAAAAAAAAAGAUGAGUUAGGUGGUGUGUUCAAGAAAACUGGGAAGUUUUGUGGGAAAUACGCCUUUUCAAAAGACGAUCAAAACAACCAUCAAGGGAUUCUCUUAAUUUGACAUAAUUUUGAAAAGUGAAAUUUGAAACAA
Hippocampus comes (tiger tail seahorse) is the source of this 180-nucleotide long non-coding RNA. RefSeq lists it as uncharacterized. NCBI's taxonomy places the organism in Eukaryota, Metazoa, Chordata, Actinopteri, Syngnathiformes, Syngnathidae. The transcript has 2 exons. The record is from RefSeq and is a predicted model, not a curated record.